GCCGAGCUGAUGCAACAAACCUAAAGAAAGAUAGCUCAUCAACGACAAUAGAAGAGCCCAGGCAUUGUACAUUAUUGUCCAAAAAUAUCAAAUUGUGCACUGGACUUGUGUUUUCCAACAAUAUAAAAAUAAAUAUACCCAGGUUUAGUAAAAGCAUGAAGUUCUGCGAACAGAUGGGAAGGGAUGGAAUACAAUUCUUGUCAACUUGUUCCAAACAUAACAUAAAUCCCUUACCUUGCAAGAAUCUAUGUAAUCUCAGAAAAACCCUAGAAACAACUAUAAAAUUCCCACACACUGUCUUUAAAUAACACAAAUCAACAGCAGAAACAGUUCUUUAAAUGAAAAAUCAUUAACAGUACAAUCUCACACAUCUCUUGUACAUGCUCAGCAAAAUUCAGAAAUGCAAUAUUAUCAUUCAACUUCACAAAAAUAAACCAUGCUUGCACAUAUACCAAGGCCUAAUUUCAGCAUGCAUGCUAACUGCUAAGUCCUAUUUAGUGUACAGGAACCAUGUUUGCUAUGCACUUUUAGUUUGUGUGUGCACACUUUUGGUUUGUGAGUGUGUGUAUAUAUAUAUAUGCACUGAACCCUCCAUUCUAAAGGUUCAAAAGCGCAAUAUGACUAUUCUUCAAUUUCACAAACACACAACAAGUGCACUAUGCACAUGGAGCGCGCGCGCUCGCGCGUGUGUGUCAGUGCACCAAGUAUACACAUGCAAGGGACGUGCAACAGUUUCAUCAUUAUCAUUAUUGAAAACUUGAAAAAAUGACCAACAGAACACAAAUAAACACAGCACACUGUAAAGAGAUUAACAAUUCAGGGCAACAAGGAAUAGAUCAAGCUUUCAACUUUCAAUUUAAAGGAUAAAGAAAAAAAAAAUA
RNAcentral lists this unclassified non-coding RNA (881 nucleotides) under Hevea brasiliensis (rubber tree). Lineage: Eukaryota; Viridiplantae; Streptophyta; Magnoliopsida; Malpighiales; Euphorbiaceae. The record is from RNAcentral.